UAAUACGGAGACUGCAAGCGUUACUCGGGUUCACUGGGCGUAAAGGGUGCGUAGGCGGAUAGAUGUGUGAGGUGUGAAAUCUCGGGGCUCAACCUCGAAACUGCGCCUCAAACUGUCUAUCUAGAGUAUUGGAGGGGUAAGUGGAAUUUCUGGUGUAGCGGUGAAAUGCGUAGAUAUCAGAAGGAACACCAAUGGCGAAGGCAGCUUACUGGACAAAUACUGACGCUGAGGCACGAAAGCAUGGGUAGCGAAAGGGAUUAGAUACCCCUGUAGUCCAUGCCGUAAACGUUGUACACUAGGUCUUGGGGGUUUCGACCCUUUCAGGACCCCAGCUAACGCGAUAAGUGUACCGCCUGAGGACUACGGCCGCAAGGCUA
This 377-nucleotide ribosomal RNA is filed under the name uncultured Verrucomicrobiota bacterium. RNAcentral describes it as "bacterial SSU rRNA". It matches the Rfam family "Bacterial small subunit ribosomal RNA", at positions 521 to 896 of the family's 1533-position model. Lineage: Bacteria; Pseudomonadati; Verrucomicrobiota. The record is from RNAcentral.